GACGAACCGUGCAAACGUUAUUCGGAAUCACUGGGCAUAAGGGGCGCGUAGGCGGCUCCAAAAGUCAGGGGUGAAAUCCGGCAGCUUAACUGUCGCAGUGCCUUUGAUACUGUGGAGCUAGAGGGAUGUAGGGGUCUGUGGAACUUCCGGUGGAGCGGUGAAAUGCGUUGAUAUCAGGAGGAAUACCGGUGGUGUAGACGGCUCUCUGGACCGCCACUGACGCUGAGACACGAAAGCGUGGGUAGCAAACAGG
RNAcentral lists this ribosomal RNA (253 nucleotides) under uncultured bacterium. Its description in RNAcentral is "partial 16S ribosomal RNA". It matches the Rfam family "Bacterial small subunit ribosomal RNA", at positions 524 to 776 of the family's 1533-position model. The record is from RNAcentral.